UACGGGGGGAGCAAGCGUUGUUCGGAUUUACUGGGCGUAAAGGGCGCGUAGGCGGUCAGCACAAGUCAGUUGUGAAAUCUCCGGGCUUAACUCGGAAAGGUCAACUGAUACUGUGCGACUAGAGUGCAGAAGGGGCAACUGGAAUUCUCGGUGUAGCGGUGAAAUGCGUAGAUAUCGAGAGGAACACCUGCGGCGAAGGCGGCUCUCUGGGCCUUUCCUGACGCUGAGACGCGAAAGCGUGGGGAGCGAACCGG
Molecule: ribosomal RNA, 254 nt
Filed under: uncultured bacterium
Lineage: Bacteria
Description: partial 16S ribosomal RNA
Rfam family: Bacterial small subunit ribosomal RNA
Source: RNAcentral